CUUGGUCAUUUAGAGGAAGUAAAAGUCGUAACAAGGUUUCCGUAGGUGAACCUGCGGAAGGAUCAUUACCGAGUUCAUGCCCUCACGGGUAGAUCUCCCACCCUUUGUAUACCAUACCUUUGUUGCUUUGGCGGGCCGCCUAGCUACUGGCUUCGGCUGGUAAGUGCCCGCCAGAGGACCCAAAACCCUGAAUAUUAGUGUCGUCUGAGUAAAAUUUUAAUAUUUAAAACUUUCAACAACGGAUCUCUUGGCUCUGGCAUCGAUGAAGAACGCAGCGAAAUGCGAUAAGUAAUGUGAAUUGCAGAAUUCAGUGAAUCAUCGAAUCUUUGAACGCACAUUGCGCCCCUUGGUAUUCCGAGGGGCAUGCCUAUUCGAGCGUCAUUAUCACCCCUCAAGCUUCGGCUUGGUGUUGAGGCCUGCUGUAAAGGCACCCUCUAAAAUCAGUGGCAGUGCUGUCAGGCUCUAAGCGUAGUAAUUUCAUCGCUAUAGGGUCCUGGUGGAUACUCGUCAAAACCCCCCCAUUUUUUAAUGAUUGACCUCGGAUUAGGUAGGGAUACCCGCUGAACUUAAGCAUAUCAAUAAGCGGAGGAAAAGAAACCAACAGGGAUUGCCUCAGUAACGGCGAGUGAAGCGGCAAAAGCUCAAAUUUGAAAUCUGGCUCUUUUAGGGUCCGAGUUGUAAUUUGUAGAAGAUGUUUCGGGUGUGGCUCCGGUUUAAGUUCUUUGGAAUAUUACAUCAUAGAGGGUGAGAAUCCCGUAUGUGACCGGCAGCCUUCGCCUAUGUGAAACUCUUUCGACGAGUCGAGUUGUUUGGGAAU
RNAcentral lists this small RNA (817 nucleotides) under uncultured Tetracladium. RNAcentral's name for it is "eukaryotic LSU rRNA". The stretch from base 534 to 817 matches the Rfam family "Eukaryotic large subunit ribosomal RNA", at positions 1 to 281 of the family's 3401-position model. Lineage: Eukaryota; Fungi; Ascomycota. The record is from RNAcentral.